CCUACGGGAGGCAGCAGUUGGGAAUAUUGGACAAUGGGGGAAACCCUGAUCCAGCGACGCCGCGUGAGUGAAGAAGUAUUUCGGUACGUAAAGCGCUAUCAGCAGGAAAGAAAAUGAUGGUACCUGACUACGAAGCCCCGGCUAACUCCGUGCCAGCAGCCGCGGUACUACGGAGGAUGCGAGCGUUAUCCGGAUUUAUUGGGUGAAACGGGUGCGUAGGCGGAAUGCCAGGUCAGCGGUAAAUUCGCGGGGCUCAACCUCGCUACGCCGUUGAUACUGGCGUUCUUGAGUGGGCGAGAAGUAUGCGGAAUGCGUGGUGUAGCGGUGAAAUGCAUAGAUAUCACGCAGAACUCCGAUUGCGAAGGCAGCAUACCGGCGCCCAACUGACGCUGAAGCACGAAAGCGUGGGUAUCGAACAGGAUUAGAUACCCCAGUAGUC
This 439-nucleotide ribosomal RNA is filed under the name uncultured bacterium. RNAcentral describes it as "partial 16S ribosomal RNA". It matches the Rfam family "Bacterial small subunit ribosomal RNA", at positions 338 to 795 of the family's 1533-position model. The record is from RNAcentral.